RNAcentral lists this ribosomal RNA (286 nucleotides) under uncultured bacterium. RNAcentral's name for it is "partial 16S ribosomal RNA". It matches the Rfam family "Bacterial small subunit ribosomal RNA", at positions 773 to 1060 of the family's 1533-position model. The record is from RNAcentral.
GUGGAUUAGAUACCCUGGUAGUCCACACAGUAAACGAUGGAUACUCGCUGCCGGCGAUACAAUGUCGGUGGCUUAGCGAAAGCGUUAAGUAUCCCACCUGGGGAGUACGCCGGCAACGGUGAAACUCAAAGGAAUUGACGGGGGCCCGCACAAGCGGAGGAACAUGUGGUUUAAUUCGAUGAUACGCGAGGAACCUUACCCAGGCUCGAACGGCAAGUUGAAGGUCGGUGGAGACACCUUCCGUCUUCGGACAAUUUGUCGAGGUGCUGCACGGUUGUCGACAACU